CAAUUUUCGUUAUUUUUAUAAUCUUUUUGGGGGAUGAUGAUGUCCUGACCCCACCUUAUUUAGUUUAAUUUUUCAUAAUUUUCUUGCUUAAUUUACUAUUUAUUCUUGAUUUAUUUCUAACCUAGUCUUAUUAAUUGACUUUUGGUUUGACCUAUGUUUUGUUUUAAUUAAUUCACGUGCCAAUUUUCAUUAUUUUUAAAAUACUUUUGGGGGAUGAUGAUGUCCUGACCCCAUAUUAUUUAGUUUAAUUUUUUCAUAAUUUUCUUGAUUAAUUUGCUAUUUAUUUGUUAUUUUUUAAGUUGACUUGAAUUUUCAGUUGACUUCUGUAUGAUCGAUGUUUGACUUAGGGAUUGCUUAUGGCAAUUGAAGAGAUAUUUUGAUCCUCCCUCGUUCAUAUCAUAUGCCAUGUAUUAGAGGCCUCUUACCUUGAUUUUAUUUGGUCCUUACCUCAUUUCCUGAUUAAAUUAUUCAGUGGACCCUUCGUGUGCAUAUUUUCAUCUGUUUGAUUCAUCUGUUAUCUUUUAGAGAGAGAUUAAACCUCAACAACAGUUCCCUUAGUUUCUCAAACCUCCAUCUUUCAAAAUGCAAAG
This 590-nucleotide long non-coding RNA is filed under the name Lathyrus oleraceus (garden pea). RNAcentral describes it as "Pisum sativum (pea) long non-coding RNA (PSAT_LNC020279)". Lineage: Eukaryota; Viridiplantae; Streptophyta; Magnoliopsida; Fabales; Fabaceae. The record is from RNAcentral.